Pogoniulus pusillus (Red-fronted tinkerbird) is the source of this 481-nucleotide long non-coding RNA. RefSeq lists it as uncharacterized. The transcript is spliced from 3 exons. Lineage: Eukaryota; Metazoa; Chordata; Aves; Piciformes; Lybiidae. The record is from RefSeq and is a predicted model, not a curated record.
AGAUGAAUGUAGCUGUGUGAUAAAUAGCUUGGGAAAUAACAGGAGGCUUCUGGAGCAUCUACAUCUUUAUGUAACACCAGGAUCAGGAUCAUUUAGGGCCUCCAAGUACAAGAAACAUAUCAAGGUGAUGGAGCAUGCCUCAAGAAGAUGUUGAAGGGAUCUAGAGCAAAAUCCAUGUGAGAGGCUGAGUGAACUGGAGUUUAUCUGGCAGAAGAGGCUGGGGGGAGACCACCUUGCUCUCAAGAGGCUGCAGCAAGGGGAACAGGAAGAAGGAGGCAUCACAGACAUGUGUUGUCAGGAAGAAUCUCCAGAGUUCAAGGCAUUUUGUUCAAUCCACUGCACACAGGAGCUGGAUCAUGGAGAACUGCCAUAUGCUUGUCUAAUCUGCUCUUAAAGCCAGUGAAGAAUGGUCCAUCACAUCCUCCAGAAGCCUGCUGAAGUGCCUCAUUACUCUCCAUUAAAACAUUUUUACUGCUCUAAA